GCAAGCCGAGGGGUAACAUGUUUUUCUGACCGCUGACGACCGUCGCACGGGUGAGUAACGCGUAUGCAACCUACCGUACACAGGAGAAUAGCCCGGUGAAAACCGGAUUAAUGCUCCAUAAAGCAGGGAUCCCGCAUGGGAAUAUUUGCUAAAGAUUUAUCGGUGUACGAUGGGCAUGCGUGACAUUAGCUAGAUGGUGAGGUAACGGCUUACCAUGGCAACGAUGUCUAGGGGUUCUGCAAGGAAGGGC
Molecule: ribosomal RNA, 250 nt
Filed under: uncultured bacterium
Lineage: Bacteria
Description: partial 16S ribosomal RNA
Rfam family: Bacterial small subunit ribosomal RNA
Source: RNAcentral